AGAAAUGAAGCUGAUUUUGCUGCAGCUGCAAAAGCUCCAGGCGAACAGAUCAACCCUGGAUGAAGUUCCAGAUUUGACAGACCUUCGACUUCCAAUGUUCUCGCUGGAAGACUUGAGGAGAGUUGAGGGCCAACUUUCAGAUCAAGACUUAAAAAAAGAACCUGACCAUAUACUUGGGACUGUCUGGAGGGAUGACCACCAAGGAGAAUGUGUGGAGAAUACUUUCAAAACUCCUUACAAAUGGCCUGGCCAUGAAAAUGAAUUGGAGAGGGGCCAAUGGGAAACAGGCUUUUGAACCUCUUGCCUUAAAAAGUGUUGUUAUCCUUCCUGAUGUGGAGAUAGAAAAAGACAUAAAACGAUGGAUGCAGCUAGCCCCUGGCAGAGAUGGAAGGAGAAAAAGGAGAGAGCGAGUGAGAAGUGACCAGACCUAGGAGGAGUGAUGGAGAAAACUGAAUGCCUACUAGAGCUUAAAAAGAAAGAAAGCUUAAAUAGACAAAAUCAAACUACUUCUCAUUUCUGUGAUUAAUUUUUUAAUUUUUUAUUUAAAUUAAAUUAUUUAAGAGUC
This is a long non-coding RNA of Coregonus clupeaformis (lake whitefish), 565 nucleotides long. RefSeq lists it as uncharacterized. The record is from RefSeq and is a predicted model, not a curated record. NCBI's taxonomy places the organism in Eukaryota, Metazoa, Chordata, Actinopteri, Salmoniformes, Salmonidae. The transcript has 3 exons.